AGAUGGAUCAUUUAUAUUUAUGUCAUUAUUUAGUGGUCGAUAUGGCUGAGUCAUGUGAACUAUAUGAAUUGAGAGGAAUUGGUUGGUUGCACGAAUUUUGCGAAUUGAGGGAAAUUGGUUAACAUUCAUAAUGAGAUUAUAUUAUUAUUCUACGACCUUCAGCGAUGGAUGUCUCGGAUCUCGUGACGAUGAAGAACGCAGCUAGUUGCGAUAUGCAAUGUGACUUGCAAACUUCUGAGAAUCAUUAGAUUUUUGAACGCAAAAGGUGCUCCUAGGUCACUGCUUAGGAGCAUGUUCGCUUCAGUGCUUUAUAUCUUUGUUGUCUUGCUUAGUAGACAACGUGUGUAGAUGCUGGUAAGACAGCUUCUGUAAUUUAGUGAUCAAAAGCUACUUUGGUAUUUCCUGAAGGCGCGUGAUCGGAUUGAUUUACAAAUAAGCCUGAAUUUGAGCAAGGUUACCCGCUGAAUUUAAGCAUAUUAUUAAGCGGUGGAAGAGAAACUAACUAGGAUUCCCUUAGUAACGGCGAGUGAACAGGGAAAAGCUCAAACUGAAAAUCAAUAGUAUACUAUUGAAUUGUAGUUUCGCGAAGUGCAACCUGUGUUUAUUCUAGGUUAAGUCUCUUGGAAAAGGGUACCAAAGAGGGUGAAAGUCCCGUCUAUACCUAGAGUCGUUCACGUUCGGUGCAUUUUCAAAGAGUCGCGUUCCUUGAGAUUGGAGCGCUAACUGGGUGAUAAAUUUCAUCUAAAGCUAAAUACUGACGAGAUUCCGAUAGCAUACAAGUACCGUGAGGGAAAGAUGAAAAGGACUUUGGGAAGAGAGUUAAAAGGAACUGAAAUUGCUGAAGGGUAAGCGGAGGGUUUUGGCUGUUUAGUGGAGCUUGUAUUGAGCUCCGCGGUAACACUGGAAGGUGAUUGUGCUUACCGAGUAAAGCAUUGAUGGAGUCCCUACAGGGUUGACUUCUUUGCUGUUUUCGGGUCGAGCGAUCAUUUAGCUACUGUUAUACAUUAGUGGUAGCAGUUUAGCCUCCAGCAAUGUCGAUUCUCUCCGUCCCGUCUUGAAACACGGACCAAGGAGUCUAACUUAUAUGCGAGUACAAAGGUGUAAAACCUACGUGCGGAAUGAAAGUAAUAAUCAGGAAGGGUAACCUGCACUGAUACCCGGUUAUUAAGCUGAGGUUGAGCAUAUAUGUUAGGACCCGAAAGAUGGUGAACUAUGCCUGAGUAGGGUGAAGCCAGAGGAAACUCUGGUGGAAGCUCGUAGCGAUACUGACGUGCAAAUCGUUCGUCAAACUUGGGUAUAGGGGCGAAAGACUAAUCGAACCAUCUAGUAGCUGGUUCCCUC
Molecule: unclassified non-coding RNA, 1341 nt
Filed under: uncultured fungus
Lineage: Eukaryota; Fungi
Description: sequence contains 18S rRNA gene, ITS1, 5.8S rRNA gene, ITS2, 28S rRNA gene
Rfam family: Eukaryotic large subunit ribosomal RNA (bases 435-1341)
Source: RNAcentral